Molecule: transfer RNA, 92 nt
Filed under: Marinobacter salarius
Lineage: Bacteria; Pseudomonadati; Pseudomonadota; Gammaproteobacteria; Pseudomonadales; Marinobacteraceae
Description: tRNA-Glu
Source: RNAcentral
UCGCCGUUUAGGAUGUAUUCGUCGCCGUCUUCGGUGGCGGUGGUACGGAUGGCGGCGGAGUCGGAGCCGGCGCCGGGUUCGGUGAUGGCCAU